AGCAGCCGCGGUAAUUCCAGCUCCAAUAGCGUAUAUUAAAGUUGUUGCAGCUAAAAAGCUCGUAGUUGAAUUUCGGGAUUGGCGUGUCGGUCGUGCCUUACGGGGUAUGAACUGGCGUCGUCGAUUUCUCACCUUCUGGAGAAUCACGAUGCCCUUAAUUGGGUGUCGUGUGGAACCAGGACCUUUACCUUGAAAAAUUAGAGUGUUUAAAGCAGGCAUUUUUGCUCGAAUACAUUAGCAUGGAAUAAUAAAAUAGGACGGUUUGGUUCUAUUUUGUUGGUUUCUAGGAUCACCGUAAUGAUUAAUAGGGAUAGUUGGGGGCAUUAGUAUUCAAUUGUCAGAGGUGAAAUUCUUGGAUUUAUUGAAGACUAACUACUGCGAAAGCAUUUGCCAAGGAUGUUUUCAUUAAUCAAGAACGAAAGUUAGGGGAUCGAAGACGAUCAGAUACCGUCGUAGUCUUAACCAUAAACUAUGCCGACUAGGAAUCAGACGAUGUAAUUUUUUAAUGAUUCGUUUGGCA
This 520-nucleotide ribosomal RNA is filed under the name uncultured Entrophospora. RNAcentral's name for it is "SSU rRNA". It matches the Rfam family "Eukaryotic small subunit ribosomal RNA", at positions 569 to 1085 of the family's 1831-position model. The record is from RNAcentral. Lineage: Eukaryota; Fungi; Glomeromycota; Glomeromycetes; Entrophosporales; Entrophosporaceae.